AGCGAACGCUGGCGGCAGGCCUAACACAUGCAAGUCGAACGAACUCUUCGGAGUUAGUGGCGGAUGGGUGAGUAACACGUGGGAACGUGCCUUUUGGUUCGGAAUAACUCAGGGAAACUUGUGCUAAUACCGAAUGUGCCCUUCGGGGGAAAGAUUUAUCGCCAUUAGAGCGGCCCGCGUCUGAUUAGCUAGUUGGUGCGGUAACGGCUCACCAAGGCGACGAUCAGUAGCUGGUCUGAGAGGAUGACCAGCCACACUGGGACUGAGACACGGCCCAGACUCCUACGGGAGGCAGCAGUGGGGAAUCUUGCGCAAUGGGCGAAAGCCUGACGCAGCCAUGCCGCGUGAAUGAUGAAGGUCUUAGGAUUGUAAAAUUCUUUCACCGGGGACGAUAAUGACGGUACCCGGAGAAGAAGCCCCGGCUAACUUCGUG
Molecule: ribosomal RNA, 433 nt
Filed under: uncultured bacterium
Lineage: Bacteria
Description: partial 16S ribosomal RNA
Rfam family: Bacterial small subunit ribosomal RNA
Source: RNAcentral